Molecule: non-coding RNA, 529 nt
Organism: Betta splendens (Siamese fighting fish)
Lineage: Eukaryota; Metazoa; Chordata; Actinopteri; Anabantiformes; Osphronemidae
Source: the annotation of a RefSeq genome assembly
UCAGUAGAGCAAGACAAGGCUGCUGCACCACGAUGAUCGGAACAUUGGCUGCUUUGACUCUUUUUACUAUGUCAUUCGUUCAUUCUGUGGUGGAUUCUCAGCAGAUGUCUGUGACUGUGGCUGAACUUGGUCACAGUGUUACUCUUCAGUGUCGAUACUCUGACAACAAAAGUAAAUUCUUGUACUGGAACAAGGAAACUCUUGGACAUUUGCCCCAAAUUGUAGCAGAAGUAGUUUUUGGUCAAGCAAAUGUUAUUGAAGAGUUCAAAGGCCCACGUUUCUUGGCCAGAACAGAUGAGGAUCUGCAUUUUUUCACCAUCACAAACGUCACCAAAGAAGAUGAAGCUGUUUAUUUUUGUCAAGGCAGAGCAGCAUAUGGACAAACAUUCAUCAACGGCACAUUCUUGUCUGUAAUAGGUCAAAUAUUCUUUACUAUCAGUCUUUGAAUUUAUUACCUUAAUAUUUAUAUUUAUAUGAUUUGAAUGUAUUUUAAACAUCACACAGAUGGAAAUCAGCUAAAACCAGUCUA